RNAcentral lists this ribosomal RNA (482 nucleotides) under uncultured bacterium. Its description in RNAcentral is "partial 16S ribosomal RNA". It matches the Rfam family "Bacterial small subunit ribosomal RNA", at positions 30 to 507 of the family's 1533-position model. The record is from RNAcentral.
AUUGAACGCUGGCGGCAUGCUUUACACAUGCAAGUCGAACGGUAACAGGCCGCAAGGUGCUGACGAGUGGCGAACGGGUGAGUAAUGCAUCGGAACGUGCCCAGGCGUGGGGGAUAACUACUCGACAGAGUAGCUAAUACCGCAUACGAUCAUUGGAUGAAAGCGGGGGACCGUAAGGCCUCUCGGGAUUGGAGCGGCCGAUGUGAGAUUAGGUAGUUGGUGGGGUAAAGGCUCACCAAGCCAACGAUCUGUAGCUGGUCUGAGAGGACGACCAGCCACACUGGGACUGAGACACGGCCCAGACUCCUACGGGAGGCAGCAGUGGGGAAUUUUGGACAAUGGGCGCAAGCCUGAUCCAGCAAUGCCGCGUGCAGGAAGAAGGCCUUCGGGUUGUAAACUGCUUUUGUACGGAACGAAACGGCUCUGGUUAAUACCCGGGGCUAAUGACGGUACCGUAAGAAUAAGCACCGGCUAACUACGUG